This is an RNA transcript of Mus musculus (house mouse), 4774 nucleotides long. It is a transcript of the gene named two pore channel 1, with no coding region annotated. Lineage: Eukaryota; Metazoa; Chordata; Mammalia; Rodentia; Muridae. The record is from RefSeq and is marked validated. The transcript has 29 exons.
AGGAGUCGGCGGAUGCGAAGGCUGGCGCAGCUGCCGCUGUGGCAGCGGUGAGGCGGCGGUGGCGGCUGCUGAGGCUCCGCGCUGGGGAUAUUGGCGGCGGCAACUGCGGGCUGAGCUACGCUGUGCAGACCCAGUGCACAGUGCGGGAUCCCGGGACGGCGCGUACCUUAGAAGAUGCCUCUGAUGGAACAGGCUCUGGGAAGCUUCCCCGGCCCCGUGGCUUUGAACAGGAGCUCAAGCCGGAGGCAGUUUAAAGCCCUGGCCGUUGUAUCCUGAGGACCGCAGGUCAGGAGAAGAUGGCUGUAAGUUUAGAUGACGAUGUGCCGCUCAUCCUGACCUUGGACGAGGCUGAGAGUGCUCCGCUGCCUCCUUCGAACAGCCUGGGCCAAGAGCAGCUGCCCAGCAAAAAUGGGGGCAGCCACAGCAUCCACAACUCCCAGGUCCCCAGUCUGGUCUCCGGAGCGGACAGCCCCCCCUCCAGUCCCACCGGACACAACUGGGAGAUGAAUUAUCAAGAGGCGGCAAUCUACCUCCAGGAAGGUCAGAACAACGACAAGUUCUUCACCCACCCCAAGGAUGCCAGAGCGCUGGCGGCCUACCUCUUCGUCCACAACCACUUCUUCUACAUGAUGGAGCUGCUCACGGCCCUGCUCCUGCUGCUGCUGUCGCUGUGCGAGUCCCCCGCUGUCCCCGUGCUCAAGCUGCACACUUACGUCCACGCCACGCUGGAACUCUUUGCCCUCAUGGUGGUGGUAUUUGAACUCUGCAUGAAAUUGCGGUGGCUGGGCUUCCACACGUUCGUCCGGCACAAACGUACCAUGGUCAAGACGUCCGUCCUCGUGGUGCAGUUCAUCGAGGCCAUUGUGGUGCUGGUUCGGCAGACGUCCCACGUGCGGGUGACCCGGGCACUACGCUGCAUUUUCCUGGUGGACUGUCGCUACUGUGGCGGUGUACGGCGCAACCUGCGGCAGAUCUUCCAGUCUCUCCCACCCUUCAUGGACAUCCUCCUGUUGCUGCUCUUCUUUAUGAUCAUCUUUGCCAUCCUCGGUUUCUACUUAUUCUCCACAAAUCCUUCCGACCCCUACUUCAGCACCCUGGAGAACAGCAUCGUCAACCUGUUCGUUCUCCUGACCACAGCCAACUUUCCAGAUGUCAUGAUGCCCUCCUACUCCCGGAACCCCUGGUCCUGCGUCUUCUUCAUUGUAUACCUCUCCAUUGAGCUGUACUUCAUCAUGAACCUGCUCCUGGCCGUGGUGUUCGACACCUUCAACGACAUUGAAAAGCACAAGUUCAAGUCUUUGCUGCUGCACAAACGGACCGCCAUCCAGCAUGCCUACGGCCUGCUUGCCAGCCAACGGAGGCCGGCUGGCAUCUCCUACAGGCAGUUCGAAGGCUUAAUGCGCUUCUACAAGCCCCGGAUGAGUGCAAGGGAACGCUUCCUGACUUUCAAGGCCUUGAACCAGAGCAACACGCCUCUGCUCAGCCUGAAGGACUUCUAUGAUAUUUACGAAGUCGCUGCUCUGCAGUGGAAGGCAAAGAGAAACAGACAGCAUUGGUUUGAUGAGCUCCCCCGGACAGCCUUCCUCAUCUUCAAAGGGAUUAACAUCCUUGUGAAUUCCAAGGCCUUCCAGUAUUUCAUGUACUUGGUGGUGGCUGUCAACGGUGUCUGGAUCCUGGUGGAGACAUUCAUGUUGAAAGGUGGGAAUUUCACCUCAAAGCAUGUGCCCUGGAGUUACCUCGUGUUUCUUACCAUCUAUGGAGUUGAACUGUUCAUGAAGGUGGCUGGCCUGGGCCCUGUGGAGUACCUGUCCUCUGGAUGGAACCUGUUCGAUUUCUCGGUCACGGCAUUCGCCUUCCUGGGACUGCUCGCACUGACGCUCAACAUGGAACCCUUCUAUUUCAUUGUGGUCCUGCGUCCCCUUCAGCUGCUGAGGUUAUUUAAACUGAAGAAACGCUACCGCAACGUGUUGGACACCAUGUUUGAGCUGCUGCCGCGGAUGGCCAGCACUGGCCUGGCUGAACUGUCUAGCGGGGAGGGCAGGGAGCUGUCGACUUACCACCUGUGUCUACGUUCACAGCCUUGGCCUCACGCUGCUCACCUUCUACUAUUCCUUCGCCAUCGUGGGCAUGGAGUUCUUCAACGGGCGGCUGACCCCCAACUGCUGCAACACCAGCACAGUGGCCGACGCCUACCGGUUCAUCAACCACACUGUGGGCAAUAAGACCAAGGUAGAGGAAGGCUACUACUAUCUCAACAACUUUGACAACAUCCUCAACAGCUUCGUGACCUUGUUUGAGCUCACCGUUGUCAACAAUUGGUACAUCAUCAUGGAAGGCGUCACCUCGCAGACGUCCCACUGGAGCCGCCUGUACUUCAUGACCUUUUACAUAGUGACCAUGGUGGUGAUGACCAUUAUCGUGGCCUUCAUCCUGGAGGCCUUCGUCUUCCGCAUGAACUACAGCCGCAAGAGCCAGGACUCGGAAGUGGACAGUGGCAUCGUCAUCGAGAAGGAAAUGUCCAAGGAGGAGCUUAUGGCCGUCCUGGAGCUUUAUCGUGAGGAGCGAGGCACCUCCUCUGACGUGACCCGGCUGCUGGACACCCUCUCUCAGAUGGAGAAAUACCAGCAAAAUUCCAUGGUGUUUCUGGGACGGCGAUCGAGAACCAAAAGUGACCUGAGUCUGAAGAUGUACCAGGAGGAGAUCCAGGAGUGGUACGAGGAGCAUGCCCGGGAACAGGAGCAGCAGAAGCUCAGGGGCAGCGUGCCCGGCCCUGCAGCCCAGCAGCCCCCUGGCAGUCGCCAGCGCUCCCAGACUGUCACCUAGCUGGGUUUCGUCAAGCCAGCCUCUUCUAUGCAAUAACACCAUAGUAUUAUGUACUAGGACGUAUGGGAACCAUGUGUGUAUGUAGACACACUCAUAUAUAUGCACAUAUUUACACAGAGACAGAAAAGAGACUAUAGCCAGGGUCCGUUCCAGCCACCUCGCUCUGUCUUCCUGAGCUCCAGAAAUAACCAGCUUAGGCUGGAGGCCCAGGCCUGGCGGAGCUCUCGUCCUACCAUGGAAAACUCUGGAAGCCCUCUGCUCAAGAAGCCCCUUAAAUAGGCUAUCUCGUCUCAGCAAUGCCGGCUUUCCCCGGGGAGGGAUGGGGGGAGCUUGACCGCCUCCCUACUGCGGCCUCCAGCUUCGUCCCUACCUGAACCCCAGCCAACACAGGUGUCUGUGUCUGGUAUGAGGAUCAAAACCACUAGGAAGAAACCCCACACCCUGCAGGAUGACAUCUAUCAAUGACAAAAGUGUUAGAAGGUUCCCUUGAGGGAGACAGAAGAGCUUACUCUCUCAGGCUCCCAGUCCUUUCUUGUUGCUGGAACCCUACCACAACUCCCCCACCCCCACCCCCGGGAACCCCCACCCCCACCCCCGGCAGGAUCCCUCCAUGCAGGAGAAAGCCAACCAGAGGCCCUGGGAAUUUGACUUGCUCAGGGGAGUUCAUUUGAACUGGUGCUGAAGGCAGCCCCCCUCACCAACCACACUUUCACACUGCCUCCUCCAAGAUUCUCAUAAGCUAGGUGGGUAGGGGUGGCGAGUCAGGUCAGGUGACUUGUGGGAGUUCUUUUGAGGCCACCAUAGUAUAUGGUGGCAGAGCGAUGGAGCCCUGCUGUGUUGUCCACAAGGGGCUGAAGGUGGGCAGGGCCCGAAGUUGCCUAGCACCCCCACCCCCCCACCCCUGCGCACUCCCUCCAGGCUAACCUGGCCUUCCAAACCUGCUGUUGCUUGGGAGUUGGAGUGGGCAGGCACAGCCCCCCCCUCCUGUUCUCCCAGCCGCAGAACCAGGGGUCAAGCUGGAAAGCGGAUGUUUUUACUUUAAAUAAAGCACAGUUGCCCCCCCCCCCCCAAUACAUACACUAUCCCCCAGGAAAAACCUCUGGUUUCCACAGAGAGUCAGGAGACUGGCCAAGUCCCUUCCACUUCAAAGAGCUCUUGGCCUCCACUUGGACUCCAGUUCCCAACCCUGAGAAGCAGUUUCAUUUCCAUAGCCGGUUGCCUUAGCUUCUUUGUGUGUGAGGGGCAUUUUGGAAGCAGAAAGAGGGGAGGCCUAUAAAGAGGGCGGUGGGGGGGGGGAGGCUCUGAGCAACUGCCUGGUUCUAGGCCCCUUCCUCUACCCCAGGUACCCUCAGCCUAGGGGAGCAGGCUCAGGUGGAAGGGACUGGUCUUGGGCCCCAUGUAGAGGUACUAAAACCCCUGGGUCUAGCACAUACCAGCCAGGUGCCUGAGCAAGACAGGGCCCUCAGGCCAAACUGUAGCCCCACAGAGUCACCUUUGAGCACACACCAAGCUGACCCUCAAACUUGCUAGCCAGGCAGGGAACAGACUGUGUCGCCCAGGGCUGUAAGCUGAGACCCCUGGGAUCCCUGUCUAAGCUAGAUGCCCCUUCCCUCCAUUCAGCAGAGUGAGAACUAGUGGCUCCGUGUCACAGCCUAGCAGGGGCAGCUACGGAACCACCACGCUGCUUCUCCCGAGUGGGGAUAGGGCACUCUGUGGGAACCACCACGCUGCUUCUCCCGAGUGGGGAUAGGGCACUCUGUGGGAACAGUGUCCGGCCCCUCCCUCUCGCUUCUCCACCCCCUCCACCCCAGCCUUACUCCACACCGUGCAGACAAUCAUUUUGUAUGGGUUAAGAGCCACGUCGUCGGAAGGUUUUAUACAGUGAUUUGUUACCUAGGAACGCACUGUGCCCAGAUUUCUGGUGUGCCAAUAAAAGAGCCUCUGCUUUAUA